Molecule: non-coding RNA, 2065 nt
Organism: Podarcis lilfordi (Lilford's wall lizard)
Lineage: Eukaryota; Metazoa; Chordata; Lepidosauria; Squamata; Lacertidae
Source: the annotation of a GenBank genome assembly
UGAGGAAAAUGGCAGCAGUUAGAGAGCGAAGGAAAGGGGAAAGGGUAGAAGCAGAACGAGCAAAACUAACCUCCUUCAAGGUUUCCAGGGCCUGAGGAAACAAGUCGUGACUGCACUGGAGUUUGGCCACUCUCAUCAUCUGGACGGCCCUCAAAGGAUGGAAGCCAGAAUAAUAAACCCUAGAGGCGUGGAAGGGAGAAAAAUCAUCAUAGCAUCUUUGUCAGCUCUCACCUUCACAGUUCCUGCCUCAGUGGAGAGCUAUUAGGGUGGGCCUGCAAAGCCAUUGUGAAUGUUAAUAAGGUAUUCAGAGAAAAUUAGCUACACGGCGAAGAAGUGUGGAAUACUGAGGGGAAUUAACAAAUUAUUAUUUUUCCUGUCCCUGCAGAAUGACUUUUACAUUAUCCUGUUAGAAAGUGACAGGAGUGGGAGCAAUUUGCACACCUCAGUUCGGCAGCACAAUAGCUCUCUCUAUGCUUCGUGUUAAACAAAGAGGCUUUCUAUCACAGCAGUGCUGAGAUAGUUUCAUUUCCAUGGGAGGUUUUUCAAUGUGGAGACAGGGUCUGUAUUCCGAAUCUUCACAGAGCCUGGGGGAAGAGUCCAUGCGGGACAGCAGGAUGCAGAAUACACAACAGUGAAACUUAUUCACAACUUCAAUUCUGAGGGCUUCCAUUUCCCUAGCCACACAAUAAAAUACAAUAUGUGUCUGCAAAAAUGGCCAAGGGGCUUGCAAUACCUAAAAUGCCCAGCACAAGCAAAUUGAUCCUCAAAAACAUAGUGGCUAAGAAUGUGAGCCAGUUAAAUCCCCAGGUCAAAUCCUUCCUCAGCCACAAACUCAGUAAUUGGCUCCAGAAAAUAUACUAUUUCUUGGGAGCAUUAAUACUGGCCAACCUUACAGGAGCAUUGAGAGGAUUCCUGAAAUAAUGAACACUGUAAAGAUAGUAGACAAAUAGUCAACAAUUGUAGUAGCAGUUGCGGUGUUGCUGUGAAAUAGGCACCUUUAUUCAUUUUCUGGAUAGUUCUCAACACAUGUUUAGAAAGCAGCAACUGAAAAAGCCAUUUUAUAUAGACCUACAUGCCUGUCAGCAUCUCUUGACUAUGGGAUUUCAUUCUGGGGCCACGUUCCAAAGCAAACCUGAGCACCUUUUGCUUUACUAGCAUACAGGAUGGAUCUAGCCUGAUAAAGGUUUAUGCUUUCUUUCCCACUAAUCUGAUGGGACCAGUACUCCCUAUUAACUGCACUGCCAUUAUUCCUGGUUUACAUUCACACACAGAGAUGAAGACAGAGUAAGGCUGCUUGUUUGUAGCACAAGGAACACAUGUAAUGCCCUGGUGUCACUAAUUACUUGCAAUAUUAUGUACUGGAAAUGUCAGUGUUUUAAAGGCAAUCACUCUACAGCUGCAAGAUUUGUACAGUGGUGUAAACUAUUCAGGAUCAGUGUCAUUCAGCAAAGGAAAACAACCCAUUUGAUCAAACAUUUAUCAAUUCUUGCUGGCAGUUCUUCAUGCUAUUUACAAAAAUAAUCUUGUAGUGUAGCUACAGCAGCAGGAAGAAACUUAGAAACAAACCCCAAAUGGCACCAGGGCUUUUCUUUCUUUUUCUUUUCUUUGGGGGUGUGCUAAUUUUGAAAAUUAUAUAUCUCAAAGAAACGAACACAUAACGUAAUACGAAACAUAAAUAACGUAGGAUCAGUACAGCCAUCUGCAUAUUAUUUAUUUAUUGAAAUUAUGUACCAACCUUCCUCCCCAAGGAGCCCACAAUAGCAAAAAGUUGAAUAAGCAAGAGGAUAUGUUGGAAAAUAUAGGGAGGUGAGCUGGGUUAGAUAGUUAAAGGGAAAACUAUCACUUUGCUUUGUAAGAGGUCAGCAUGUUGUUGGUUUGAAAGCAGCUGCUUUUUCCACUGGCUCCUAAAAGAAGAAACAGGUGUGUUCGUCUGGCACCUGUAUGUAUGCAUCAUUAUUAUCAAUAAACGAAAUAAAAUCUUGCCAGUUUGUGUAGUCUGUAGUUUUAUUAUCUCUCAGAGUUCUUAGAUAGCAUGUUAAUUUUCCCAUUAUGGCAAAGCUCCAGA